Molecule: ribosomal RNA, 301 nt
Filed under: uncultured bacterium
Lineage: Bacteria
Description: partial 16S ribosomal RNA
Rfam family: Bacterial small subunit ribosomal RNA
Source: RNAcentral
CAGCCGCCGCGGGAAUACGAAGGGUGCAAGCGUUAAUCGGAAUUACUGGGCGUAAAGCGUGCGUAGGCGGUUUGUUAAGUCUGUUGUGAAAUCCCCGGGCUUAACCUGGGAACUGCGCUUGUGACUGCACAGCUAGAGUAUGGCAGAGGGGGGUGGAAUUCCACGUGUAGCAGUGAAAUGCGUAGAGAUGUGGAGGAACACCGAUGGCGAAGGCAGCCCCCUGGGCCAAUACUGACGCUCAUGCACGAAAGCGUGGGGAGCAAACAGGAUUAGAUACCCCAGUAGUCCCUGUCUCUUAUAA